Molecule: ribosomal RNA, 868 nt
Filed under: Roussoella mexicana
Lineage: Eukaryota; Fungi; Ascomycota; Dothideomycetes; Pleosporales; Thyridariaceae
Description: partial large subunit ribosomal RNA
Rfam family: Eukaryotic large subunit ribosomal RNA
Source: RNAcentral
AGGGAUUGCCUCAGUAACGGCGAGUGAAGCGGCAACAGCUCAAAUUUGAAAUCUGGCCCUUUCAGGGUCCGAGUUGUAAUUUGCAGAGGGUGCUUUGGUGUCGGCCGUGGUCUAAGUUCCUUGGAACAGGACGUCACAGAGGGUGAGAAUCCCGUACGUGGCCGCCGGUCUUCACCGUGUAAAGCCCCUUCGACGAGUCGAGUUGUUUGGGAAUGCAGCUCUAAAUGGGAGAUACAUUUCUUCUAAAGCUAAAUAUUGGCCAGAGACCGAUAGCGCACAAGUAGAGUGAUCGAAAGAUGAAAAGCACUUUGGAAAGAGAGUCAAAAAGCACGUGAAAUUGUUGAAAGGGAAGCGCUUGCAGCCAGACGUGCCCGCAGUUGCUCACCUAGGCUUUUGCCUGGGGCAUUCUUCUGCGGGCAGGCCAGCAUCAGUUCGGACGGUUGGAUAAAGGCCUCUGUCACGUAUCUUCCUUCGGGAUGACCUUAUAGGGGAGGCGCAACACGACCAGUCUGAACUGAGGACCGCGCAUCAGCUAGGAUGCUGGCGUAAUGGCUGUAAGCGGCCCGUCUUGAAACACGGACCAAGGAGUCUAACAUCUAUGCGAGUGUUUGGGUGUAAAGCCCGGACGCGCAAUGAAAGUGAACGGAGGUGGGAACCUUUCGGGGUGCACCAUCGACCGAUCCUGAAGUCUUCGGAUGGAUUUGAGUAAGAGCAUAGCUGUUGGGACCCGAAAGAUGGUGAACUAUGCCUGAAUAGGGUGAAGCCAGGGGAAACCCUGGUGGAGGCUCGCAGCGGUUCUGACGUGCAAAUCGAUCGUCAAAUUUGGGGCAUAGGGGCGAAAGACUAAUCGAACCAUCUAGUAGCUGGU